Molecule: long non-coding RNA, 1289 nt
Organism: Thunnus maccoyii (southern bluefin tuna)
Lineage: Eukaryota; Metazoa; Chordata; Actinopteri; Scombriformes; Scombridae
Exons: 6
Source: RefSeq, a predicted model, not a curated record
CUGAUGUGAUAUAUCUGAUGUGAUAUUGUUGCAAACUAUACAAGUUACCGGGUUUGUACAUACAAUACAUGUACUGUCAACAUAUUACAAAACCACACAUCACCAUAAAUAACACAGACAAUCCAUGAUGUACGUUACAGAAGUGGGUUUAUGACUAGAAGGCUGCAGGGAAAAUGUGUGUGGAUGAAGUGUCUGAAACAAAGUCCCCACUUCCAACAACUACUGUCGAGGAGCACAGGAGCAUGGUGCAGGGUGUGUGUAACACCGUCUCUGGUGCCUGCAAAACAGAAAUCACCACAAACACAACCGUACUAACUCUAACUUCUUUGGUUAGACUCACCUGAAGACUUAAAGAAGCUUAAUUUUGGAUGCAACUUUAGACUUAAACCUCAACCUAAAGGACCAGAGUUGGAAUAUCUAAAGGCAUCAUAAUGUCUUAUGAACGGAUUCUGGGGAUCAAAGAUCUGAGUGAAGUUCCGAAUCCAUGGAAGGGAAUCACUAUGAACCGCUGCUUAGUGCUGGCGCUGGUUGUACUGCUUGUGAGUUCAGGGGUCAAUGAAUUGCAUGAUGCUCUGGAUUCUUUUGUUGAGGAGGAAAGUGUAAGAUCUUUCCUUGGAAGUCUGCAAGAUGGUUCAAUAACUCAGAUCUCUUUGUGGGACAGUUUCAUUUGGUGGUGGGAAUCUGAAGAAGUUGGAGCGAUAAGAAAAAGAAAAAAGCCAAUUGGCGACAGAACAAUCCUGAAACCCAAAACUAAAGAAUGAAUUUGUAUACAGCUAAUUCCACCAAUAACAGCUUUCUGAAUAAAGGAGCACCAACGGCAUACUUUGCAUUUAAUUAUAUAAAAACAGAGAGUAAUACAUGUUUGUUUGUAUUGUACAGAAAAUCAUUUAAUUUAUCUGGCACAGGCUGUUAUUUCUUAUUCUGAAAUAUUUGUCACAUUUAACGCAUAUUUUAAAUCACUCAAAUCCACCUUUCAUGACUAAUUUAGAUGAUUUAUGGAGUGAGAUUUUAUAAACAAUGUGGUAACAUUUAAUAAUAUACACAUGUACAAUACAUUUAAUAAUUUCAAUGAUAAUGAGAAUUUUUAAAGCACAAAGAGUGGUCUUAAGAGGUUUACUAUGAUAAACAUUGGGCCUCAUGCACAAAGCAAUAAAAGGAAAAUAAGAAAAUCCUGGAUUUUAGAUGCUAAAAAAAUCUUUCCGUGAUGGGAGGCGGUCAUUUGACAGUCAUAGAUAUAUUAGAGGAGAAUAUUAUAGUCUACAGGUGAUGUUACUCUGUCAGCUGCAACA